This 298-nucleotide long non-coding RNA is filed under the name Citrus x clementina. RNAcentral's name for it is "Citrus clementina (C. clementina) long non-coding RNA (CCLE_LNC003877)". The record is from RNAcentral. Lineage: Eukaryota; Viridiplantae; Streptophyta; Magnoliopsida; Sapindales; Rutaceae.
GUAGGGAUGAUGUUGUUAAAGACUUAAAAUAAAGAUUUGAAAUGGUUGCGACUGUAAAAACCAAAAAAGAAUGACUAGUAAAAGAAAGUCUAACUAGCGUUGCGUUUUCUUUACUUUUCCGAAUGGAGCUCCGUCCUCCACUCGAGUGGCUGCGCGACGAGUGUUGUUGACGACGAAUCUACUAGGAACUGCGUUGUACAGGAGGAAGUUUACCAGAAUCUACAAACAAAACAAUGACUCCGGUUACCGCGGAUAAAUAAUUCCAUAUUAAAAAUUGCUUACUGACUUUUGACAAAAC